UAAAGAUUAAAUGAAUAAUAACUACAUGGCUACCACACAUACGUAAUUAAUGAUUAGUCCACGAUAUACAGCUGGGUCAUAUAUUGAAAUGGCCUAUAGAAGGUACUUGUAGAAAGAGCAUACAGUGCUGUAAGAAUGGAGAGUGAGAUCCAGCUCACUGAUGGCACCACUAACAUCAGUUUCUCUUUGUCGGCUGAAGUCCGUGAAAAGAUUAAGUCUGACCCUGGUUACGCCAGUUGUCUAUUUUCAGAAGCGCUGAAAAACACCACAGUGCAAACACAAGGUUAACUAUUCUCCAAGACUGUGGGAGCACCACCAUCUGGCACAAUCACAUCCACACCACUAUUCACCUCCAAAGCUUCAUGAUCUCACACAACCCCAGUAACAUGUGCACCUGACUUAACACCACCGCCAGCACUCUGCACAGACACCUCUACCUGUCCUUCCCACACUGAUACACUUCCUACCCCAUGCCUCCCCAGCUCAAUACCAAUCCUCAACUCAGACGCAUCCAAAAACCACAAAGAACAAGACCUCCAUCCACUGCCACUGGCACCUUUUUAGAACAAUAUGACCAACACGCCAUGAGACGAACUUCUGCAAUCGAGUCCCUUCUGGAUUGAGAUGACAAGCAAAAAAAGAUGCGAAAAAGGCUCAGAGACAAAAGAGAACAAAUGGAUACCAAAAUGCUUGAGUGUUUAAAAGACAUGUGAACCACAUUGCAUGAGAGAUCUGUGAAGCAGGAUCGGAUCCUUGCUCAUCUCAAAAGCAAAUUAUAGUUUCUGUAAAUAAAUUCUUUGUAUAGUAAGCUUUUCUCUUUUUUUGUGCAACUAUGCAACUCUGGGUAUAACGUUUUUUUUUUUUAAAUGUUAAUUGUUCCAAAAAUAUCUGACUA
Long non-coding RNA from Acipenser ruthenus (sterlet), 895 nucleotides. RefSeq lists it as uncharacterized. NCBI's taxonomy places the organism in Eukaryota, Metazoa, Chordata, Actinopteri, Acipenseriformes, Acipenseridae. The record is from RefSeq and is a predicted model, not a curated record. The transcript is spliced from 3 exons.